This 543-nucleotide ribosomal RNA is filed under the name uncultured bacterium. RNAcentral describes it as "partial 16S ribosomal RNA". It matches the Rfam family "Bacterial small subunit ribosomal RNA", at positions 355 to 889 of the family's 1533-position model. The record is from RNAcentral.
UGGGGAAUUUUGGACAAUGGGCGAAAGCCUGAUCCAGCAAUGCCGCGUGUGUGAAGAAGGCCUUCGGGUUGUAAAGCACUUUUGUCCGGAAAGAAAUCCUUGGCUCUAAUACAGUCGGGGGAUGACGGUACCGGAAGAAUAAGCACCGGCUAACUACGUGCCAGCAGCCGCGGUAAUACGUAGGGUGCAAGCGUUAAUCGGAAUUACUGGGCGUAAAGCGUGCGCAGGCGGUUUGCUAAGACCGAUGUGAGAUCCCCGGGCUCAACCUGGGAACUGCAUUGGUGACUGGCAGGCUAGAGUAUGGCAGAGGGGGGUAGAAUUCCACGUGUAGCAGUGAAAUGCGUAGAGAUGUGGAGGAAUACCGAUGGCGAAGGCAGCCCCCUGGGGCCAAUACUGACGCUCAUGCACGAAAGCGUGGGGAGCAAACAGGAUUAGAUACCCUGGUAGUCCACGCCCUAAACGAUGUCAACUAGUUGUUGGGGAUUCAUUUUCCUUAGUAACGUAGCUAACGCGUGAAGUUGACCGCCUGGGGAGUACGGUCGC